Molecule: ribosomal RNA, 639 nt
Filed under: Cryptosporidium scrofarum
Lineage: Eukaryota; Apicomplexa; Conoidasida; Eucoccidiorida; Cryptosporidiidae
Description: SSU rRNA
Rfam family: Eukaryotic small subunit ribosomal RNA (bases 1-545)
Source: RNAcentral
AUUGGAGGGCAAGUCUGGUGCCAGCAGCCGCGGUAAUUCCAGCUCCAAUAGCGUAUAUUAAAGUUGUUGCAGUUAAAAAGCUCGUAGUUGAUUUUCUGUUAAUUUUUAUGUAUAAUAUUGCGAUAUUUACAUAAUAUUAACAUAAUUCACAUUACUUUACAGUAUGUGGAAUUUUACUUUGAGAAAAUUAGAGUGCUUAAAGCAGGCUAUUGCCUUGAAUACUCCAGCAUGGAAUAAUAUUAAGGAUUUUUAUUCUUCUUAUUGGUUCUAGAAUAAAAAUAAUGAUUAAUAGGAACAGUUGGGGGCAUUUGUAUUUAACAGUUAGAGGUGAAAUUCUUAGAUUUGUUAAAGACAAACUACUGCGAAAGCAUUUGCCAAGGAUGUUUUCAUUAAUCAAGAACGAAAGUUAGGGGAUCGAAGACGAUCAGAUACCGUCGUAGUCUUAACCAUAAACUAUGCCAACUAGAGAUUGGAGGUUGUUCCUUACUCCUUCAAAGACAAACUAGUGCGAAAGCAUUUGCCAAGGAUGUUUUCAUUAAUCAAGAACGAAAGUUAGGGGAUCGAAGACGAUCAGAUACCGUCGUAGUCUUAACCAUAAACUAUGCCAACUAGAGAUUGGAGGUUGUUCCUUACUCCUUC